AAGGCAGCAUCUCUUGGAGAUAACUUCUUGGUGGAGAUUGCCUCAGUGCUUCCUAGCAGACUGAGAGCUUCCAUGUGGGUGACUUUUUCCUAUGAAUUUAAAGAUCUACAUCUAAAUUCACUGGCUGGGGAUCAGCUUAAUAGGAAAUACCAUACCUGAAUGUCCACAAAUCCUCGUCUUCAUCCAGCUGCAGUGUACCAACAGCAUGUGGGAUUCCUACCUACCUGUUAGAAUCACUUAUUAAGUACCACUUGCCAGUUCAGUAAUUGUAGGGUUCUGUUUCAGAGAGUCAGAGAAUCUCAGAAGUAUAGAAAGGCUGAGAUUAAAAGAAACCUCUGGAGGCUGUCUGGUCCAAAUCUCUUGCUCAGUCAAGUCCACCAAAAGCAUGAUGCCCAGCACCAUGUCCAUGUGGCUUCUGAAGAUGUCCAAGGAAGGAGACCCUACACACUCUCUGGAUAGUCUGUUCUCCAUCAUCCACACAGCAUGGAAGUACUUCCUGGUGUUCAGACAGAACAUACUGUGGUCAAGUAUGUGUCUGUGUCCUGUCCUGAUACUGGACACAACCAAAGAGAGCCUGCCUCCAUCCUCUUUGUACCUUCCAUUUGGAUAUUAAUAGACAUUAAUGAGAUUCACCUGAGCCUCCUCUUUCCAGGCGGAACAACUCCAACUCUUUCAGUCUCUCCUCAUCAGAGACAUUCUCUAGUUCCUUCAUCAUUAUGGUCCUUCACUGGACCCUUUCCAGGAUGUCCAAAUACCUCUUGUCUCAUCAGUGCUGAGCAGAACAGAAAUUCCCCAACCUUGAUGGACUGACAGCAUUUUACCUAUAGUAGUCCAGGAUACCCUCAAAGCCUUAUUUCCUGCAAGUGCACACUGCUGGCUCAUGUCCAGUUUGAUGUGUACCAGUA
Non-coding RNA from Coturnix japonica (Japanese quail), 905 nucleotides. Lineage: Eukaryota; Metazoa; Chordata; Aves; Galliformes; Phasianidae. The record is from RefSeq and is a predicted model, not a curated record.